GGUAGGGGGAGCGGUCUAAGGCGUCUAGCUGUUAACUAGAAGAUCCCUGGUUCAAAUCCAGGUCCCCCCA
Massospora cicadina is the source of this 70-nucleotide non-coding RNA. Lineage: Eukaryota; Fungi; Entomophthoromycota; Entomophthoromycetes; Entomophthorales; Entomophthoraceae. The record is from the annotation of a GenBank genome assembly.